Molecule: ribosomal RNA, 203 nt
Filed under: Conus richeri
Lineage: Eukaryota; Metazoa; Mollusca; Gastropoda; Neogastropoda; Conidae
Description: partial 12S ribosomal RNA
Source: RNAcentral
GGCGGUGUUUUAGACCUCUCAGGGGAACCUGUCUCGUAAUCGACAAUCCACGUUAGACCUAACCCUUUAUGGUAAUACAGCCUGUAUACCGUCGUCGUCAGGUAACUUCUUAAAAUAUAGUAGUUAGCUUGAGAAUUCUAUUAAUUAAAACGUCAGAUCAAGGUGCAGCUAAUAAAAGGGUGAGGAUGGGUUACAAUUAUAUA